AGGAGCAAGGGAAUGGGGUGGAUGUUGGAGCAUCCCAAACUAUUAUGAACUUAGAGCUUUGAUAAGAAAGGCAGCAGUAUAACAUGGAGAGGCAAGAAGAUCCUUUUGACAUUUUGUGAAUAUUGAGGAAUGUAGCAGUAAGCUUGACAUGUGAUGUUGCGACAUUUAUGGCUGAAAAUGGCAGAGGAAACGGAAGCAUCAAGAGGAAGAAGAUAACAGAUACAAAAGCUCCAGGAAGCUCUUAUGAGACACGGGAAG
Molecule: long non-coding RNA, 258 nt
Organism: Passer domesticus (house sparrow)
Lineage: Eukaryota; Metazoa; Chordata; Aves; Passeriformes; Passeridae
Exons: 3
Source: RefSeq, a predicted model, not a curated record